This 253-nucleotide ribosomal RNA is filed under the name uncultured bacterium. Its description in RNAcentral is "partial 16S ribosomal RNA". It matches the Rfam family "Bacterial small subunit ribosomal RNA", at positions 524 to 776 of the family's 1533-position model. The record is from RNAcentral.
UACGGGGGGGGCAAGCGUUGUUCGGAAUUACUGGGCGUAAAGGGCUCGUAGGUGGCCAAUUAAGUCAGACGUGAAAUCCCCAGGCUCAACUUGGGAACUGCGUCUGAUACUGGUUGGCUUGAAUUCGGGAGAGGGAUGCAGAAUUCCAGGUGUAGCGGUGAAAUGCGUAGAUAUCUGGAGGAACACCGGUGGCGAAGGCGGCAUCCUGGACCGACACUGACGCUGAGGCGCGAAAGCUAGGGGAGCAAACGGG